RNAcentral lists this ribosomal RNA (446 nucleotides) under Abiotrophia defectiva. RNAcentral describes it as "bacterial SSU rRNA". It matches the Rfam family "Bacterial small subunit ribosomal RNA", at positions 28 to 458 of the family's 1533-position model. The record is from RNAcentral. Lineage: Bacteria; Bacillati; Bacillota; Bacilli; Lactobacillales; Aerococcaceae.
GACGAACGCUGGCGGCGUGCCUAAUACAUGCAAGUCGAACGAACCGCGACUAAGUGCUUGCACUAAGUCAAGGUGAGUGGCGAACGGGUGAGUAACACGUGGGUAACCUACCUCAUAGUGGGGGAUAACAGUCGGAAACGACUGCUAAUACCGCAUAGGACAUAGGAUCACAUGAUCCAGUGAGGAAAGGUGGCGCAAGCUAUCGCUAAGAGAUGGACCCGCGGUGCAUUAGCUAGUUGGUAGGGUAAAGGCCUACCAAGGCGAUGAUGCAUAGCCGACCUGAGAGGGUGAUCGGCCACAUUGGGACUGAGACACGGCCCAAACUCCUACGGGAGGCAGCAGUAGGGAAUCUUCCGCAAUGGACGCAAGUCUGACGGAGCAACGCCGCGUGAGUGAAGAAGGUCUUCGGAUCGUAAAGCUCUGUUGUUAGAGAAGAACAGCGCAUA